Molecule: ribosomal RNA, 301 nt
Filed under: uncultured bacterium
Lineage: Bacteria
Description: partial 16S ribosomal RNA
Rfam family: Bacterial small subunit ribosomal RNA
Source: RNAcentral
CAGCAGCCGCGGGAAUACAGAGGGUGCGAGCGUUAAUCGGAUUUACUGGGCGUAAAGCGUGCGUAGGCGGCUUUUUAAGUCGGAUGUGAAAUCCCUGAGCUUAACUUAGGAAUUGCAUUCGAUACUGGGAAGCUAGAGUAUGGGAGAGGAUGGUAGAAUUCCAGGUGUAGCGGUGAAAUGCGUAGAGAUCUGGAGGAAUACCGAUGGCGAAGGCAGCCAUCUGGCCUAAUACUGACGCUGAGGUACGAAAGCAUGGGGAGCAAACAGGAUUAGAGACCCGUGUAGUCACUGUCUCUUAUAC